This is a long non-coding RNA of Leptidea sinapis, 546 nucleotides long. RefSeq lists it as uncharacterized. Lineage: Eukaryota; Metazoa; Arthropoda; Insecta; Lepidoptera; Pieridae. The record is from RefSeq and is a predicted model, not a curated record. The transcript has 4 exons.
AUCCAAGGUAUAUAGAGUGAAUUAGAUUAGAACACGGAAUGUACAUUUUACAACAUAACAAGUUACACCUUCAGCAUCUGCGAAUUAAAUAUUGUAACGGCUACAAGAUGGCUGCCAACAAUAUCUAUGUCUUUGUAUUUGCUGUACUGAUAUCAUUCAACUUCGUAUUUGCUGAGGAAGCAGAACAUAACAUCAGCGAACACAAAAAGUUCAGUUUUUUCAGCUCCUUUGGCAUCUUUUUGAACCGUAACAGUUGUAACUACACUAGUGAGCCGGGAUUGUCAUGCAACGGAUGCAGAGCAGUAAGACUUUGCCUCCCCAACAACACUGGCAUUACUAUUGAGUGUACUAUGUCCCAUCCUUAUUGUGACAGCGGCCUUUGUUUGACAUCUCCCACUGCCUCUUGCAGCAACUCUACAGGAUCAGAAUAAAUUAUAUUCAGGUUGUUCGAGUGUGUUGACUACCCUGGCAGUAAUAAAGGCUUGUUAUUUUAUGUAUUUAAUAAUUGAAACCAUAGCGUGAAAGUAGAAUAUUUCAAAAAUACGA